GAUGAACGCUAGCUACAGGCUUAACACAUGCAAGUCGAGGGGCAGCAUGGUCUUAGCUUGCUAAGGCCGAUGGCGACCGGCGCACGGGUGAGUAACACGUAUCCAACCUGCCGUCUACUCUUGGACAGCCUUCUGAAAGGAAGAUUAAUACAAGAUGGCAUCAUGAGUCCGCAUGUUCACAUGAUUAAAGGUAUUCCGGUAGACGAUGGGGAUGCGUUCCAUUAGAUAGUAGGCGGGGUAACGGCCCACCUAGUCUUCGAUGGAUAGGGGUUCUGAGAGGAAGGUCCCCCACAUUGGAACUGAGACACGGUCCAAACUCCUACGGGAGGCAGCAGUGAGGAAUAUUGGUCAAUGGGCGAGAGCCUGAACCAGCCAAGUAGCGUGAAGGAUGACUGCCCUAUGGGUUGUAAACUUCUUUUAUAAAGGAAUAAAGUCGGGUAUGCAUACCCGUUUGCAUGUACUUUAUGAAUAAGGAUCGGCUAACUCCGUGCCAGCAGCCGCGGUAAUACGGAGGAUCCGAGCGUUAUCCGGAUUUAUUGGGUUUAAAGGGAGCGUAGAUGGAUGUUUAAGUCAGUUGUGAAAGUUUGCGGCUCAACCGUAAAAUUGCAGUUGAUACUGGAUAUCUUGAGUGCAGUUGAGGCAGGCGGAAUUCGUGGUGUAGCGGUGAAAUGCUUAGAUAUCACGAAGAACUCCGAUUGCGAAGGCAGCCUGCUAAGCUGCAACUGACAUUGAGGCUCGAAAGUGUGGGUAUCAAACAGGAUUAGAUACCCUGGUAGUCCACACGGUAAACGAUGAAUACUCGCUGUUUGCGAUAUACAGCAAGCGGCCAAGCGAAAGCGUUAAGUAUUCCACCUGGGGAGUACGCCGGCAACGGUGAAACUCAAAGGAAUUGACGGGGGCCCGCACAAGCGGAGGAACAUGUGGUUUAAUUCGAUGAUACGCGAGGAACCUUACCCGGGCUUAAAUUGCAGAUGAAUUACGGUGAAAGCCGUAAGCCGCAAGGCAUCUGUGAAGGUGCUGCAUGGUUGUCGUCAGCUCGUGCCGUGAGGUGUCGGCUUAAGUGCCAUAACGAGCGCAACCCUUGUUGUCAGUUACUAACAGGUCAUGCUGAGGACUCUGACAAGACUGCCAUCGUAAGAUGUGAGGAAGGUGGGGAUGACGUCAAAUCAGCACGGCCCUUACGUCCGGGGCUACACACGUGUUACAAUGGGGGGUACAGAGGGCCGCUACCACGCGAGUGGAUGCCAAUCCCCAAAACCUCUCUCAGUUCGGACUGGAGUCUGCAACCCGACUCCACGAAGCUGGAUUCGCUAGUAAUCGCGCAUCAGCCACGGCGCGGUGAAUACGUUCCCGGGCCUUGUACACACCGCCCGUCAAGCCAUGGGAGCCGGGGGUACCUGAAGUGCGUAACCGCGAGGAGCGCCCUAGGGUA
Molecule: ribosomal RNA, 1432 nt
Filed under: uncultured organism
Description: 16S ribosomal RNA
Rfam family: Bacterial small subunit ribosomal RNA
Source: RNAcentral